UACGUAGGGUGCGAGCGUUGUCCGGAUUUAUUGGGCGUAAAGGGCUCGUAGGCGGCCUGUCGCGUCGGGAGUGAAAGCCCACUGCUUAACGGUGGGUCUGCUUUCGGUACGGGCGGGCUAGAGUAUGGCAGGGGAGACUGGAAUUCCUGGUGUAGCGGUGGAAUGCGCAGAUAUCAGGAGGAACACCGGUAGCGAAGGCGGGUCUCUGGGCCAUUACUGACGCUGAGGAGCGAAAGCGUGGGGAGCAAACAGG
RNAcentral lists this ribosomal RNA (253 nucleotides) under uncultured bacterium. RNAcentral's name for it is "partial 16S ribosomal RNA". It matches the Rfam family "Bacterial small subunit ribosomal RNA", at positions 524 to 776 of the family's 1533-position model. The record is from RNAcentral.